AGAGCGAACGCUGGCGGCAUGCUUAACACAUGCAAGUCGCACGGGCACUUUCGGGUGUCAGUGGCGGACGGGUGAGUAACGCGUAGGUAUCUGUCCAUGGGUGGGGGAUAACGCCGGGAAACUGGUGCUAAUACCGCAUGAUGACUGAGGUCCAAAGGCGCAAGUCGCCUGUGGAGGAGCCUGCGUUCGAUUAGCUUGUUGGUGGGGUAACGCCUACCAAGGCGACGAUCGAUAGCUGGUCUGAGAGGAUGAUCAGCCACAUUGGGACUGAGACACGGCCCAAACUCCUACGGGAGGCAGCAGUGGGGAAUAUUGGACAAUGGGCGCAAGCCUGAUCCAGCAAUGCCGCGUGGAUGAAGAAGGUCUUCGGAUUGUAAAGUCCUUUCGACGGGGACGAUGAUGACGGUACCCGUAGAAGAAGCCCCGGCUAACUUCGUGCCAGCAGCCGC
RNAcentral lists this ribosomal RNA (449 nucleotides) under uncultured bacterium. RNAcentral describes it as "SSU rRNA". It matches the Rfam family "Bacterial small subunit ribosomal RNA", at positions 26 to 518 of the family's 1533-position model. The record is from RNAcentral.